Potamilus streckersoni is the source of this 76-nucleotide non-coding RNA. The record is from the annotation of a GenBank genome assembly. Lineage: Eukaryota; Metazoa; Mollusca; Bivalvia; Unionida; Unionidae.
AUGAUCAUACACUAAGUGGUUAGAGCGUCUGCCUCGGAAACAGGAGGUCGCGGGGUCGAACCCUGGCUGAGUCACG